Molecule: long non-coding RNA, 571 nt
Organism: Cygnus atratus (black swan)
Lineage: Eukaryota; Metazoa; Chordata; Aves; Anseriformes; Anatidae
Exons: 3
Source: RefSeq, a predicted model, not a curated record
AAGUCAUUUGGCAGGUGACUUGUGCUGUACGCAGUACAGCUGAGGUCUGUGUCACCGUAGCUUUGCCAAGUGAGCUGCUGACCUUCGGGAAGGUUUUCCUGCCACUGCCUGCCAUCAGACACACCGCCUUGCUGCUGGAUGUGGGGCUCUCCCUCCCAUCACUGACCCAGCAUUUUUUGGUGCUUCUUUGGUUAAGUUUCUGACAGCAAAGUGUGAAGACCAGAAUCCUACGAACUUUGCGGAGUCACCCAAAAUAAAGCAGGGUGGAAACAUCAAUAGAAGAGCCAGGGGACUCCGAAGCCAAGUGUAAAUGCUGUUGUGUCACCAGCCAGCGUGUAAGGAUGAAGAGCGGCUCUCCUUUACUCGGCUUCCCUGCCCUAUCUCCUUGGACAGCCGGGGCUGGCUCUGGCUGACGAAAUCCUUACUCAUCCUGGCCAGCGGUAGCAGUACGAGAACAAAUCUGCCUUGCAGACCAGCAGGCAGCGGUGCUGCUCUUCGGGGGGAAAGGAAAACGAACAGUUUGUUUCUUAAUGUAAAGUACAGCCCUCUGUGCUCGUUGGUUAAUAAAUAU